Molecule: ribosomal RNA, 255 nt
Filed under: uncultured bacterium
Lineage: Bacteria
Description: partial 16S ribosomal RNA
Rfam family: Bacterial small subunit ribosomal RNA
Source: RNAcentral
UACGGAGGGUGCAAGCGUUGUUCGGAAUUAUUGGGCGUAAAGCGCGCGCAGGCGGUCGAAAAAGUCUAUGGGUAAAAGGCCGGGGCUCAACCCCGAGUACGCCCAGGAUACUGUUCGACUGGAGACACGUAGAGGCAAGCGGAAUUUCGGGUGUAGCGGUGGAAUGCGUAGAUAUCGGGGAGGAACACCAAUGGCGAAGGCAGCUCGCUGGGACGGUACUGACGCUGAGGCGCGAAAGCGUGGGGAGCAAACAGG